UACGUAGGGUGCGAGCGUUAAUCGGAAUUACUGGGCGUAAAGCGUGCGCAGGCGGUUCGUUAUGUCCGUUGUGAAAGCCCCGGGCUCAACCUGGGAACUGCGCUUGUAACUGGCAAGCUAGAGUGUGGCAGAGGGGGGUGGAAUUCCACGUGUAGCAGUGAAAUGCGUAGAGAUGUGGAGGAACACCGAUGGCGAAGGCAGCCCCCUGGGCUAACACUGACGCUCAUGCACGAAAGCGUGGGGAGCAAACAGG
Molecule: ribosomal RNA, 253 nt
Filed under: uncultured bacterium
Lineage: Bacteria
Description: partial 16S ribosomal RNA
Rfam family: Bacterial small subunit ribosomal RNA
Source: RNAcentral